RNAcentral lists this long non-coding RNA (654 nucleotides) under Bos taurus (domestic cattle). RNAcentral's name for it is "long non-coding RNA NONBTAT020579". Lineage: Eukaryota; Metazoa; Chordata; Mammalia; Artiodactyla; Bovidae. The record is from RNAcentral.
GAUCAGGUCUUUUUCUUGAUUUGGAAGAAUGCAUUCAAUUUUAUGUUAUUAAAACAAGAUACGUGUUUUAAAAUAACACAAAAGUUUGAUCUACUUGUGUCUUUCUCAUGCAGAAGCAGGUAAUAGCUCUAUUCAGUCCUAGACAUGGAGGGGAAGUGAGUUCUUCUUCACCCUGCCUCUGUGUUCCUCUGCCUGAAAUUUCCAACUUUGCCCAGAGGGACCUCAAAUAUCAUUUGUUCCAGGACUUGACUGAGAUCUCAGUGUUUUGGAUGGAGACAGUAUAAUCUCCUAGUCAACUUGAUAGUGUUAUGCAGUGCACAUUUAUUUUAUACUUGGUGCAUGAAAUCAAAGUACAGCUGAGUUUUCAUAGGAAUUCAGACAGGGAGAGAGAGGGGGCAAUUGCUCCAUGGCAGUUUAUACUAAAUAAAACCACAAAUGCACACUGAUGUUUUUCAAUAACAGCAUGUUGACAAGCUGAUUAUAUAUGGAAUUUGAGGAUGUGCAGUAGCUCUGUCACUUCCUGGAUAAAACAAUCACUCCAAAUCUGUGCUUAUAAUAAAAGAACAACUCUUCUCAGUCAUUCCCAACUCAUUUCUAAAUUCACACUCUACAGAUGUAGACAGGGUUUGAUCAAUUUCUGGUCAACUGAUAUAA